Molecule: ribosomal RNA, 446 nt
Filed under: uncultured bacterium
Lineage: Bacteria
Description: bacterial SSU rRNA
Rfam family: Bacterial small subunit ribosomal RNA
Source: RNAcentral
CACCAGACUCCUACGGGAGGCAGCAGUGGGGAAUAUUGCACAAUGGGGGAAACCCUGAUGCAGCGACGCCGCGUGAGCGAUGAAGUAUUUCGGUAUGUAAAGCUCUAUCAGCAGGGAAGAAAAUGACGGUACCUGACUAAGAAGCCCCGGCUAACUACGUGCCAGCAGCCGCGGUAAUACGUAGGGGGCAAGCGUUAUCCGGAUUUACUGGGUGUAAAGGGGGCGCAGACGGCAGCGCAAGCCAGGAGUGAAAGCCCGGGGCCCAACCCCGGGACUGCUCUUGGAACUGCGCGGCUGGAGUGCAGGAGGGGCAGGCGGAAUUCCUGGUGUAGCGGUGAAAUGCGUAGAUAUCAGGAGGAACACCGGUGGCGAAGGCGGCCUGCUGGACUGCGACUGACGUUGAGGUCCGAAAGCGUGGGGAGCAAACAGGAUUAGAUACCCGUGUA